AUGGCCCUGACUGAAGACCAGCAGUUAUAUAAUAGCUGGUGGUUUCAAACAGAGGCCUAAAGAACUUUCUUCCAAUUCUCCCCCUUUUGGGCAGUUCUGGAACCUCAGUAGAGAAUGGCUAUUUCGUUUGGAAGAAACAACU
This is a small nucleolar RNA of Jaculus jaculus (lesser Egyptian jerboa), 142 nucleotides long. NCBI's taxonomy places the organism in Eukaryota, Metazoa, Chordata, Mammalia, Rodentia, Dipodidae. The record is from Ensembl.